Molecule: ribosomal RNA, 393 nt
Filed under: uncultured bacterium
Lineage: Bacteria
Description: partial 16S ribosomal RNA
Rfam family: Bacterial small subunit ribosomal RNA
Source: RNAcentral
AUACGGAGGAUACGAGCGUUAUCCGGAUUUAUUGGGUUUAAAGGGUGCGUAGGCGGGAGAUUAAGUCGGUGGUGAAAUUUUGCAGCUCAACUGUAAAAGUGCCAUUGAUACUGGUUUCCUUGAGUGUGGAUGAAGUAGGCGGAAUGUGGGGGGUAGCGGGGAAAUGCAUAGAUAUCACGAGGAACUCCGAUUGCGCAGGCAGCUUACUAAACCAUAACUGACGCUCAGGCACGAAGGCGUGGGGAUCAAACAGGAUUAGAUACCCUGGUAGUCCACGCUGUAAACUAUGAUAACUAUCUUUUAGCGAUACACAGUUAGAGGGUACGAGAAAUCAUUAAGUUAUCCACCUGGGGAGUACGGUCGCAAGAAUGAAACUCAAAGGAAUUGACGGGG